RNAcentral lists this ribosomal RNA (488 nucleotides) under uncultured bacterium. RNAcentral describes it as "bacterial SSU rRNA". It matches the Rfam family "Bacterial small subunit ribosomal RNA", at positions 28 to 490 of the family's 1533-position model. The record is from RNAcentral.
GACGGACGCUGGCGGCGUGCUUAACACAUGCAAGUCGAACGAGAAGAGAUGAGAAGCUUGCUUCUUAUCAAUUCGAGUGGCAAACGGGUGAGUAACGCGUAAGCAACCUGCCCUUCAGAUGGGGACAACAGCUGGAAACGGCUGCUAAUACCGAAUACGUUCUUUUUGUCGCAUGGCAGAGGGAAGAAAGGGAGGCUCUUCGGAGCUUUCGCUGAAGGAGGGGCUUGCGUCUGAUUAGCUAGUUGGUGGGGUAACGGCCCACCAAGGCGACGAUCAGUAGCCGGUCUGAGAGGAUGAACGGCCACAUUGGGACUGAGACACGGCCCAAACUCCUACGGGAGGCAGCAGUGGGGAAUCUUCCGCAAUGGCGCAAGCCUGACGGAGCAACGCCGCGUGAGUGAAGAAGGUUUUCGGAUCGUAAAGCUCUGUUGAGAGGGACGAGAGGCAAGGGCUAGGAAAUGAGCUUUGAGACGGUACUUUCGAGGAAG